RNAcentral lists this ribosomal RNA (563 nucleotides) under uncultured bacterium. RNAcentral's name for it is "partial 16S ribosomal RNA". It matches the Rfam family "Bacterial small subunit ribosomal RNA", at positions 355 to 939 of the family's 1533-position model. The record is from RNAcentral.
UGGGGAAUAUUGCACAAUGGGCGAAAGCCUGAUGCAGCAACGCCGCGUGAGUGAUGAAGGCCUUCGGGUUGUAAAGCUCUGUCUUUUGGGACGAUAAUGACGGUACCAAAGGAGGAAGCCACGGCUAACUACGUGCCAGCAGCCGCGGUAAUACGUAGGUGGCAAGCGUUGUCCGGAUUUACUGGGCGUAAAGGAUGCGUAGGCGGAUUUUUAAGUGAGAUGUGAAAACCCUAAGCUUAACUUGGGGACUGCAUUUCAUACUGGAAAUCUAGAGUGCGGGAGAGGAGAAUGGAAUUCCUAGUGUAGCGGUGAAAUGCGUAGAGAUUAGGAAGAACACCAGUGGCGAAGGCGAUUCUCUGGACCGUAACUGACGCUGAGGCAUGAAAGCGUGGGUAGCAAACAGGAUUAGAUACCCUGGUAGUCCACGCCGUAAACGAUGAGUACUAGGUGUAGGAGGUAUCGACCCCUUCUGUGCCGCAGUUAACACAAUAAGUACUCCGCCUGGGAAGUACGAUCGCAAGAUUAAAACUCAAAGGAAUUGACGGGGUCAUAGCUGUUUUUCU